UACGAGAGGUGCUAGCGUUAUUCGGAAUUAUUGGGCGUAAAGGGUGUGUAGGCGGCUUGUUAAGUCUGCUGUUUAAUCUUCCAGCCUAACUGGGAGGUCGCGGUGGAUACUGGCUUGCUUGAGUGUGAAAGAGAGGAGUGGAAUUCUCGGAGUAGCGGUAAAAUGCGUAGAUCUCGAGAGGAACACCAAUGGCGAAGGCAGCUCCUUGGUUCACAACUGACGCUGAGACACGAAAGCGUGGGUAGCAAACAGG
Molecule: unclassified non-coding RNA, 253 nt
Filed under: uncultured bacterium
Lineage: Bacteria
Description: contains 16S-23S intergenic spacer region
Rfam family: Bacterial small subunit ribosomal RNA
Source: RNAcentral